CCUCAAUCUCUGAAUCUCUCUGAUGUUAUAAAAUUCUUUCCAAAUGUUGGGGGAAGAGGGUGUCGGUGUGCCUGCGUUUUUAAAAAGACACGUCUUUUACGGGCCGGAUUUUAUCUCGGCACCGUCUCUCCACCCGGCUAGAGAGGGUUUAAUAACGGUCAGCGCCUCUGUGUGUUGGAUUUAAUUAUGUAGGACACCGCAGAUACUCUCCAAGCAAAUGGGCGUGCAGCAUAUUUUAGCAUGUCCCAGAGUCCCCCUGUGAGAGAGAGCUUAAUCGCAGGAAUCUCUCU
Monodelphis domestica (gray short-tailed opossum) is the source of this 290-nucleotide long non-coding RNA. It matches the Rfam family "WT1 antisense RNA conserved region 8". The record is from Rfam. Lineage: Eukaryota; Metazoa; Chordata; Mammalia; Didelphimorphia; Didelphidae.